RNAcentral lists this ribosomal RNA (533 nucleotides) under uncultured bacterium. RNAcentral describes it as "partial 16S ribosomal RNA". It matches the Rfam family "Bacterial small subunit ribosomal RNA", at positions 355 to 902 of the family's 1533-position model. The record is from RNAcentral.
UGGGGAAUAUUGCACAAUGGGCGAAAGCCUGAUGCAGCAACGCCGCGUGAGUGAUGAAGGCCUUCGGGUUGUAAAGCUCUGUCUUUUGGGACGAUAAUGACGGUACCAAAGGAGGAAGCCACGGCUAACUACGUGCCAGCAGCCGCGGUAAUACGUAGGUGGCAAGCGUUGUCCGGAUUUACUGGGCGUAAAGGAUGCGUAGGCGGAUUUUUAAGUGAGAUGUGAAAUACCCGGGCUUAACUUGGGUGCUGCAUUUCAAACUGGGAAUCUAGAGUGCGGGAGAGGAGAAUGGAAUUCCUAGUGUAGCGGUGAAAUGCGUAGAGAUUAGGAAGAACACCAGUGGCGAAGGCGAUUCUCUGGACCGUAACUGACGCUGAGGCAUGAAAGCGUGGGUAGCAAACAGGAUUAGAUACCCUGGUAGUCCACGCCGUAAACGAUGAGUACUAGGUGUAGGAGGUAUCGACCCCUUCUGUGCCGCAGUUAACACAAUCAAGUACUCCGCCUGGGAAGUACGAUCGCAAGAUUAAAAACUU